Molecule: ribosomal RNA, 1353 nt
Filed under: Triticum aestivum (bread wheat)
Lineage: Eukaryota; Viridiplantae; Streptophyta; Magnoliopsida; Poales; Poaceae
Description: partial small subunit ribosomal RNA
Source: RNAcentral
AUGUGUGCGGUAGGUGGCCCCACAUGGCAUAGACAUGUGUCGCUUCAUUCCCAGCUACCUCUAAUCCGUACCCAACAACCUUCGCCGGCGAGGCAGAGCGCCACCAACCAACCCGGGCUGCCGCCGGCCCGCCGUGCCCCCCUCGCCAUGUCCAUCCACCUCCGCGCCCACGCCUUCGCGGCCAACCCGCUGCGCGGCCUCGCCGGCACGCGCUCCUCCGGUGCCGUCUCCCCCUCCGCGGCCGCCGAGGCCCUCCGCGCCCUCCUCGACGGCGCCGACGCCGCCGCCGGACACCACCUCUCCAGGGUCCUCCCGUUCCGCCGCGGCCGCCCCCUCGCGCGCUCCCCGGACCCUCCUGCUUCCUCGUCCUCGUCCCCCGCGCCGCCGCCGGCCUGGCGCCUCGCGUGGCUCCCGCCCUCGCGCGUCCCCGGCGUCCCCUCGGACGUCUUCGUGUUCCUGGGCUCCCACGGCGGCGAGGGGGGCGGCGAGGAGGCCGCCGCGUACUGGGCCGUCGACGUCAGCGAGGUGGAGGGCGCCAGGUUCGGCGGCGCGGGGGAGGAGUCGGCGUUCGUCGACUUGAGGACGCUCAUGGUGGCCGCCGACUGGAGGGACAAGGACGCCAUGGGGGAGCUCGCCGUCGCCGGCCACGCUCGAGCGCUGCUAGAAUGGCACAACACGGCGAAAUUCUGCGGAGCGUGCGGGGCAAAGGCAGUUCCUACCGAAGCCGGGACGCGGAAGCAGUGCAGCAACGAGUCCUGCAAGAAGAGGAUAUACCCGCGAGUUGACCCCGUUGUGAUUAUGUUGGUCAUUGAUAAACAAAAUGACCGCGCUCUCUUAAGCCGGCAGUCAAGAUUUGUGCCCCGGAUGUGGAGUUGUCUUGCUGGUUUUAUAGAGCCAGGGGAAAGCUUGGAAGAGGCAGUGAGAAGGGAAACAUGGGAAGAAACUGGGAUCGAAGUUGGGCAAGUCAUUUACCACAGUUCUCAACCAUGGCCUGUUGGGCCAAAUACCAUGCCAUGCCAGCUGAUGGUGGGUUUCUUUGCUUAUGCUAAAUCAUUGGACAUACAUGUUGAUAAAAAAGAGCUUGAAGAUGCCCAGUGGCACAGCCGUGAGGACGUCAAGAAGGCGCUAACGUUUGCCGAGUACGAGAAAGCCCAGAGAUCAAGCGCGCUCAAGGUCAAGCAGAUAUGCAAGGGCGCCGAGAGAGGGCAGAGCACCUCCUCCGACCUCAGGGUGGAGAGCGAGGAACCCGCUCCGAUGUUCGUCCCCGGGCCCUACGCCAUUGCUCACCACCUCAUAUCGUCGUGGGCCUUCGAAGGGGCGCCGAAGGUGCCCAGCUCCUUCUCCAACCUAUGA